RNAcentral lists this ribosomal RNA (374 nucleotides) under Aceria eriobotryae. Its description in RNAcentral is "partial large subunit ribosomal RNA". It matches the Rfam family "Eukaryotic large subunit ribosomal RNA", at positions 645 to 952 of the family's 3401-position model. The record is from RNAcentral. Lineage: Eukaryota; Metazoa; Arthropoda; Arachnida; Trombidiformes; Eriophyidae.
UGACCCGUCUUGAAACACGGACCAAGGAGUCUAAUUAGGCAUCAAGUCGAUCGGUCUUGACUAGGCCAGACAGUGAAGCUCGCAAGAGCUCUCACGAACGAAGGCGUAGAGAAAUCAAAUCGUGUGAUCGUGUCGGCAACAACAGCCGGCUCGCGCAACAUGUGCCUGUUCGAUAUAGUUGUGUUGUUAACUUGUUAGCAACCAACUGAGCGGAGCAAAGAGAUGCCUGAUUGGGACCCGAAAGAUGGUGAACUAUGCUUGGGCAAAUUGAAGCCAGAGGAAACUCUGGUGGAGGAUUGUAGCGAUUCUGACGUGCAAAUCGAUCGUCAGACCUGAGUAUAGGGGCGAAAGACUAAUCGAACCAUCUAGUAGCU